RNAcentral lists this long non-coding RNA (510 nucleotides) under Physcomitrium patens. Its description in RNAcentral is "long non-coding RNA (PPAT_LNC013840)". The record is from RNAcentral. Lineage: Eukaryota; Viridiplantae; Streptophyta; Bryopsida; Funariales; Funariaceae.
UGUUUUAGGAUUUGGUUAGGAUUUGAUUUAGGAUUUGAUUGAGAUUUGGUUUAAGAUUUAUUUAGGAUUUUAUUUAGGGUUUAGGAUUUUAUUAGGAUUUAAGAUUCAAUUAGUUUUGGCCUAAAGUUUGAAUAAAAUUCAAUAGGAUUAUAAAUAGAAUUAAAUUAAGAUUGAAUUGACAUGUAUUUGAGUGAUAUUUUUGAUUCUUCUAAUAUUUUUUUAAGAAUUCUUAUUGUUUGUUUGAAAUUUCUUUGAGGUUUUGUUGAAUUUGAUUAAACUUGCUUACCAUUAUUAUGGUAUAAUUAGAGCAUUGUUAGUAUUCUAUUAGAAUUAGGAUUUUGUUAUUGUAAUUUCCAUUCUUCCUUCUACAGCCAGAUAUCCAGAGCAUUCUCAAGGAAAACUUCAUGUAUUAUGACAACGUAUUCUAAUAUAUGACAUCGAGAUGGUCUUCAUCCUACAUAUCCUCUAACUAUUCAUUUUAAAUGGAUUGUUGAUUUGGUUAUUAUGCCA